RNAcentral lists this ribosomal RNA (254 nucleotides) under uncultured bacterium. RNAcentral's name for it is "partial 16S ribosomal RNA". It matches the Rfam family "Bacterial small subunit ribosomal RNA", at positions 524 to 776 of the family's 1533-position model. The record is from RNAcentral.
UACAGAGGUCUCAAGCGUUGUUCGGAUUUAUUGGGCGUAAAGAGCUCGUAGGCGGUUUGGUAAGUCGGGUGUGAAAUCUCCACGCUCAACGUGGAGGGGCCACUCGAUACUGCCAUGACUCGAGUCCGGUAGAGGAGUGUGGAAUUCCCGGUGUAGCGGUGAAAUGCGCAGAUAUCGGGAGGAACACCCGUAGCGAAGGCGGCACUCUGGGCCGGAACUGACGCUGAGGAGCGAAAGCGUGGGGAGCAAACAGG